Molecule: non-coding RNA, 109 nt
Organism: Danio rerio (zebrafish)
Lineage: Eukaryota; Metazoa; Chordata; Actinopteri; Cypriniformes; Danionidae
Source: Rfam
GCCAAAGACAUAUCAGCCCACGACCGGUUACUCACUGCAGCUAAGCGGGGCUGAGCCUGCUCAGUACCUGGAUGGGAGACCACAUGAGAAAACUAGGUUGCUGUUGGAA